This 229-nucleotide long non-coding RNA is filed under the name Phoenix dactylifera (date palm). Its description in RNAcentral is "long non-coding RNA (PDAC_LNC005935)". The record is from RNAcentral. Lineage: Eukaryota; Viridiplantae; Streptophyta; Magnoliopsida; Arecales; Arecaceae.
UUGAAACCAAUUUAAAUUUCAAAACCCUAAAUCGAUCCAUAAAUUCCCCUUCUCCCCUCUUCUCUCCUCCAAUUCCCAUUCCCAAACCCUAAUCCCGCUGAGAGCGCUGCAUCUUGGGGCGCGAUCUCAUCUCCAAUCCGCGAAUCACUUCUCCUCUCUCUCUCUCUCUCACACAAUCUCAAUCUCUCUCCAUUUCUUGAUCUAUGAAGGGCUCCAAGUUCCGAGUGAU